This is an RNA transcript of Macrobrachium nipponense, 5989 nucleotides long. RefSeq lists it as uncharacterized. Lineage: Eukaryota; Metazoa; Arthropoda; Malacostraca; Decapoda; Palaemonidae. The transcript is spliced from 16 exons. The record is from RefSeq and is a predicted model, not a curated record.
CCCGCGUCGUCUGCUGCUGCCAUGACAGCAGCAGCCAGACGACGUCAAGAUGGCGGGAAGGUGGGACGUAUUUCAAGGGCUUCCUCAAGGAUGGGAAGUUAGAUUUGAUGCUAGAACCGGCAGAUAUUACUUUGUUGACCAUGCAAGUAAAAAAACAUCAUGGGAAGAUCCUCGACUCAAAAACUGCCCUCCACCUCCUCCUCACCCUGAAACCAUACCCCCAGAAUUAAGGAACCAACAGGAAAAUCAAACGCUUCCCCACUACCAGCCUAUCUGGAGUUCUUUCCUUGGGGGUCGUUUAUCGUCCAUCUACCCAACAUGUGGAGGCCAUAACUUAUCUUUUGUACCUCCAUAUGUACUCUAUGGUCCUGUUUACCCACUUCAGAAACCUCGUGAAGAAAAGAAAAAGAAGCACACAAAAGGAAGUGCUGGGAAAACUAAGAGAGUUGCUAAUGACCAGAAGGAACCUGCUGUUGAUAAGAAAAAGACCCACCAUAUUGAGACAGGAAAGAAUGCUGAAAAGGCUAUAAGUAGUGAUGACAGUAAGAAUGUAACAAAUGUCCCAACAAGCUCAUCUUUGCAUGUGACUUCUGGAAUUGAAGGCAAGGCAUUAUCUGAUGCAGCACAGGCAUUGCUCACAGCACAACAGGAAAUUGGUUUACUGGAAGCAGUUGAACAUUCACAACUAGCCAUUGCAAAAAUUUCUGCCAUGUUUCCCACUGUUCCUGAAAGCCAUAUUAAGGACCUUAUGAGAAAGUACCAUAAUAGAGAAGCAGUUGUCAUCAGUGCCCUUCAGGUACAGAAACACCCCCUUGCCACCCCUGGGCCUUAUGGCACUUUCACACCUCCUCCUAUGCGGCACUUUAUCCCUACAGCCACAGCACUCAUGGCUUUAUCAAGCACUAGAUCUUCAGCUGCUUCCACAACAUCAACUGUAGGUAUCCUUUCCACCUCUACCACAGUGACCUCCACAGCUACGUCCCUGUUGCAUAGUGGGACCACAACCACCUCUGCCAUAUAUGGCCAUGAAAAGCCACUGCAUCAAGUACCCACAUCAUUAACAUCUAAUCUGACUAGUGUUUCAACCACAAUUGCUGAUCAAGCACCACCUGUCACUGCAGUUGAUCGUAUUCCUAGUCGACCCAUUUAUGAAAAAGCCAGAGGGACUCACUUAUUUGAAGAAAAGUUGAUACGUUCUCCAUUACAUGGUCAGCGAAGUUCUGUCGAAAGAUCUGUCGGUCGAGGAUCUCUUGACAAAUCUGCUGGUUCCCCAAAAUUAGGCCACAGCUCGAUAGAACGAUCCAUUGGCUCUCCUUUCUUAGGCCGUGACUCACCACUUUUGUCAUCACGUGCAUCUUCACCUCACACAUUCUUAGAUGGCUCGCCACGUCUCACGACACGCUCUGCUUCUGACUUUACUCGCUCAUUAAUGGGCUCACCACGAAUGGAUUACAGAUAUUCUCCAAGACCUACACCUCAUUCACCAAAGAUAAAGCUCAGAUAUCUGAAAGGAAUUUUUCCAAAAGUGGAACCAACUGUUAUAUUGGACAUCCUUACCCAGUGCAAUUAUAAUGUGAAAGAUACUUCUGAGAAACUUAUCGCCAUGGGCCAUGAGAAGAAGGAGACAGCCUUGGCUCCUCCCAAGCUGAAAGACAGAGCUGAGAAUAAAGAAAAUAAAGCAGCAGCACCAAAGCCAUCUCCUGGACCUGCUAGACCAAAGACUCUUUCUGAGAAGCACAAAAAGAAAGUGCGUAAUCAGCUAACAGCAGACUAUCCAGACAUAACACCAACAGUGGUGACAAUGGCAUUGCAAUCAGUAUUUUAUGACGAAAUCAGAGCCCGCCAGGUACUUGAAAAUAUGGCCGAGUCAGAUCGCAAAACAAAGGAGGCUUUAGCUUUAACACCCAAGAUGUCUAGACGCUCUGAAGCCAAAUCAGUGACAUUAAACCUAAUUGGUUCACCACCCACCUCUCGACGAGAUGGCGUGAAGCCAUCUCGACCGACGUUACCACGAACGAGAAUAAACACUGCCUGGACCGCUGCUCAAACGGUAUCAAGGGGUACUAGUACAGAUGAAGACUCCAGUUUCCGCAGUGAUCAACGAGCACGACCGACUGGUCCAAAUACCAAGCUUCAUAAAGGUCCAUCUGAAGGGCUGCUUCUAUCAGACUACCAAGCUUGGCAUGGUCCAAACCCUGAGAAUUGUUCAGGACACAGCAAAAGCCUUGCUCAAGGCCCAAAUCGGACCCAUCUUCGAGGACCUUCGGGUUUAGCCCGCGGUCAGAACCCUUCCAUGUGCAAAGGACCGCGAGGACUGGCUAAAGGACCUCAAUUUACGCAGGUCUGUAGAGUGCUGUUCACGCUUUCAAGAAUGUAGAGUCUGUGCAAACCUUAGUUUUAUGAGUGUCGUUACAGCUACAGCCAACACUAUCUCUGGUUGAAUGCUCCACGCAGGUUUGUUCCACGGUGGCUUAUAUGUUGUUCCUUUCCUGUUGUGUUUGAUCCAUAGGUGGUGCUAUAUUUUUUUCAGCUAUUUUUUUAUGAUUGCUGCAUAUGAUGGAAAUGUGAAUUUACCCUUUUUAGAGGACAUUUGUGUGGCAUUACUUGUGUUUUUCCUUAUAUGAUGUAUUUCUGUUAACAUUUGAGGCUUUUUCUGUUUAAAUUCUCCAAGUUUAUGUGUGAUACACUUUGUUUGAAAGCCGUUUUGAAUUCUUGUUUCUUUUAUCUUUGAAACUUCCAGGAGCAAAGUUUAUAGUUAUUUGAUUCAGACAGUUUGGUAGUUUAUCAACCAUUAUUACUGUCCAGCCAGUUUAACAAGGUUAGAUGAAUAUUUUCAGGUUCCUUAAUGAAAUUAGGGUUUACUGCAAUAUUCUGAAUAAUUUUAAAAGUAUUAAAUGCAAGGUAUUCAUGCGUACUUACCCAUAAACAUAUUUAUCCGAAGUCCACUUCAGGGAUCAGUUCCUCCUUAAAAUUGGGCUUAAAAUGUAAAAGCACUUGACAUUGCUUUUCCAAUUUAGCAAUUUUUUUUCUCCUUUCAGGAAGUCACAGACUGUUGUGUUAUGCCACAUAGCCUUAAUUGAUAUACUACUGUGGUUUCUGAUACAUUGCCCAGUGGAUGUAUCCUAAUUUCUUGUCAUCCUCUACCAAAGAUUAUUUGAAAAACUUGAAUUUGUGAAACUUUUGUUUGUGGGAGCUGUCAUCUUAGCCAGUAAAAAAGUUUUAAUUGAAGGUCAGGAAGCUAUAAUGGAUCUUUGACUCAUAUCAUUGAAAUUGACUUGUAGUUUAUAGUAUUGAUAGCUACAUAUCUCCCAAGUCUAAGGGGAAUAUAUUUAGGCAGAAAGUGCACAAAACAAAAAGAGAGUAGAGAGAAUUCUUUGUACAUCUAGCUCCAUAAAUGGAAAACCUGGCUUAUAAAUUAUAAUGUUGAUAAUUUUACAGAGUAUCUCUUCAAGACUUAAAGAAUCACUUGUCAACUGCUUACAAAAUGCUGUUCAGCACUAGUCUGUGUGAAAAAAACUUUAGUAUGAGUAUUUUGCUCUGUCUUCAAAAAGGAACCACUCCAAAAUUAUCUUGUUCAUGAAAUUUACUUUGGUAAGAAAAUUGUGUGAAAUUAAUUACAUUUUUUUAGUCACUCACUCCAGUAAUUGAACAUUAACUGUGUUGUGUUACACACUUAAGAUCACUGACUUUUAAUUAAAUUAAAUUGCUGAUGUUUGUCCCCAUCUUCAACUAACCACAAAUUAUGAGUUUUUAUAAAACUAUGGUUUGUACACUGUGAUAUUAAAAUUAAAAUUUCUUGUGCUUUCUAAGUUUUACAUUGAAAUGUUUUUAAUAUUUGUUGAAUUUAUCUAAACUGGAAAUUUUGAUGGCACCUGGAUUGAUGAGAGAACUCCAGAUUUUAGUUUGAAUUAUAUAAGAUAUUUUUUAUAGUAUUUUUGAUGGAACAGUUCAGUAAUAUUUUCUAUUUCAUGUAACUGAACUGUUCAAGGUUCAUAGUCAUCACUGCCACAUAAUUAAUGUACCAUAAAAGGAAUUUAAUACAUAUGUUUAGAUCCUUAUGACAAUAAUAGCAUGCAGCUACAUUUUCUCCUCUUGAUUGUAAACAAGUUCAAAAACUUUAUCAGUAAGAGAGACCAAGUAUAGUAUAAUAGUAGUACUACAUGAUAUCUUGCACCGUAGAUCCAACAGUGAUACAGUAUUAAUGGUUGACUGUUUGCAUAUCAAGCCAAGGAGAUUAAUUCUUUCAUAGAGAAACUGCACCAUUUAGAGUGACAAUGUUGCACAGAAAUUUAUAAUUUAUGUGAGGAUUGCCAUUUUGCAUCAUCAUAUAUCUCUAAAUGAUUGUGUAUUUUGCAAGAUCAUCUAUAGUGCACAAUUGUAGCAAGUAUUAGACAUCAUAGUUUUCAUCCAGUUUGUACAUACUUUUGUUAAAGAUGAGGGAGCUGAAGUGAUAUGAAAACAAAGUACAAUGCAAAGCUACAAAAUUAUCUGUGACCCUGCUAGUUGGCUUGAGGGUUUUCCGAUACCUGAUUCAGUAGUUCAGUGAUGCACUUUUAAACUCUCUUCAACUUUUCAACAUAGUAUUCAUCAGUUAAAAUUAAGCAUUUAGGACACAUUGGCUAGAACAUUUUGUAUUCUAGAUGAUUAUGUGCACAUCAUAAUGGUCGUUCACUUCAUCUUCAAAUGCUUCAGACACAAGUUAUGAAUGUAUAGGCUGUCAAAGAUAGCACUGAUUUUGAAUAUGGUUUGAGAAAUGUUUCCCAGUUUUUAUUGCAUGGACACAUAUAACUUCAACUUAUAUGACUCCCUGGAGUGUUAUGAAUGGGAGGGAAAUUUACUCCCUCUUGCUUUCUCAAGAUUGCCAAAUGUCAUGUCUCAUUUCUCACUGCAGGUAGAGUGUGUACUUUUGAAUGUGAUGAUGAUGAUGGUGAUGAUGAUGAUGAUGAUGAUGAUGAGAUGAUAUUGAUGAUGGUGAUGAUGAUGGGUUUAGAAGAUCAAGAAGACUUUUAGAGGAAUGAACAAAAUGAUCGUUAUCCCCUUCCAAACUACUCUCCUCUUAAUUCUUUUGUCAAAUUCAUCAAUGUAGGAAGAAUGAGCCUGACUGACAUAGAAGAAAAUUUGAUUCUCAUUUUCUCAUAAGAGUCCAGUAUACUUCAACUGCAGUAAAAUUUACGGAACCUUGUGCCUAACGUCAAGUCUAGUCGAGUCCAAGCAAGAUGUGAAGGAACCGUUACUUUGUUACAAUGCUGUGAUAUUUGAUUUUUACAGUAUGAAAAUUCAUUUGUCAAGGCUUAUAAAUCAACCAAACCCCAUGUCUUCCUUUCACCAUAUCCAGCAUCACUACAGUGGCACUUUCUUAAAAUCAGCUCUUCACCUACGUAACUCUAUCAGAAUGAACAGUGUUCAGUGACAAUACUGUGCUAUUGUAAUUGGAGUACUGAUGAAAAUUUACAUUGAUGAUGUUCUCUCCUCGCUACCUGUCCUUUUAUUACCACUACCUGUUCUUUUAUCAGAACUGGUUAUCUACUGAACAACUGUACAAAUGUUUGCGCAAACAUUAGAUGCAAAACUUGUUCCAAGAGAAGGAAGUAUGCGUUUACAGAACCAGAGUAUUUUUGGACAUAAAAAAUUUUUUCAGCCAUGGACAUUUUACUAGAUAUUUUAAAGUUAACAUAGUCUUUCCACUCACAACAAAGCACAUUUUAAAAAUAUUCUAGUUUUGGAUUACAAAUUUUCAUUUUGUGGAAAUAUAAACUAGGUUAGCAUGUGUUAAACGUGUUUGCAAACUUUAUCACAACUAGCAAAAAAUGGUAUGCUGUAAUCAGCAGAUUACAGCCUCACCAAACUCUCUUUUUUUUUUUUUUCUAAAUAGGACUUAUAUGAUAGUAGAGUUGAUUGGUUACCACUGUAGUACAGUAUAGCAUGUAGAUGUUAAAUGCAACUCUAUUUUAUGUCUUAAAAUAAAGAAGUCCGUAUAUUAUUACAAAUA